GAUGGCGGCCAUAGUCCUGAGGGUCUACCUGAACUCGGCCGAACUCAGAAGUCAAGCCUCAGAACGUCGUGUGGAAAUGUGCAUUGCGCGAGCGUGCGACAAGCCCACGAGCUGCCACAU
Molecule: ribosomal RNA, 120 nt
Filed under: Candidatus Thorarchaeota archaeon
Lineage: Archaea; Promethearchaeati; Candidatus Thorarchaeota
Source: RNAcentral